CCUACGGGUGGCAGCAGUGAGGAAUAUUGGUCAAUGGGCUUACGCCUGAACCAGCCAAGUCGCGUGAGGGAAGACUGCCCUAUGGGUUGUAAACCUCUUUUGUCAGGGAGCAACGCCGUCUACGUGGAGGCGGACUGAGAGUACCUGAAGAAAAAGCAUCGGCUAACUCCGUGCCAGCAGCCGCGGUAAUACGGAGGAUGCGAGCGUUAUCCGGAUUUAUUGGGUUUAAAGGGUGCGUAGGCGGAAUGCCAAGUCAGCGGUAAAAUCGCGGGGCUCAACCUCGGUCCGCCGUUGAAACUGGCGUGCUUGAGUGGGCGAGAAGUAUGCGGAAUGCGUGGUGUAGCGGUGAAAUGCAUAGAUAUCACGCAGAACUCCGAUUGCGAAGGCAGCAUACCGGCGCCCAACUGACGCUGAAGCACGAAAGCGUGGGUAUCGAACAGGAUUAGAUACCCUGGUAGUC
This 460-nucleotide ribosomal RNA is filed under the name uncultured bacterium. Its description in RNAcentral is "partial 16S ribosomal RNA". It matches the Rfam family "Bacterial small subunit ribosomal RNA", at positions 338 to 795 of the family's 1533-position model. The record is from RNAcentral.